RNAcentral lists this ribosomal RNA (579 nucleotides) under Lecanicillium sp. RNAcentral's name for it is "eukaryotic LSU rRNA". It matches the Rfam family "Eukaryotic large subunit ribosomal RNA", at positions 52 to 655 of the family's 3401-position model. Lineage: Eukaryota; Fungi; Ascomycota; Sordariomycetes; Hypocreales; Cordycipitaceae. The record is from RNAcentral.
GGAGGAAAAGAAACCAACAGGGAUUGCCCCAGUAACGGCGAGUGAAGCGGCAACAGCUCAAAUUUGAAAUCUGGUCCCCAGGGCCCGAGUUGUAAUUUGUAGAGGAUGCUUUUGGCGAGGCGCCUUCCGAGUUCCCUGGAACGGGACGCCACAGAGGGUGAGAGCCCCGUCUGGUCGGAUGCCAAGCCUAUGUAAAGCUCCUUCGACGAGUCGAGUAGUUUGGGAAUGCUGCUCAAAAUGGGAGGUAUAUGUCUUCUAAAGCUAAAUAUUGGCCAGAGACCGAUAGCGCACAAGUAGAGUGAUCGAAAGAUGAAAAGCACUUUGAAAAGAGGGUUAAAAAGUACGUGAAAUUGUUGAAAGGGAAGCGCCUAUGACCAGACUUGGGCCCGGUGAAUCAUCCAGCGUUCUCGCUGGUGCACUUUGCCGGGCACAGGCCAGCAUCAGUUUGGCGCGGGGGAUAAAGGUUUCGGGAACGUGGCUCCCUCGGGAGUGUUAUAGCCCGUUGCGUAAUACCCUGCGCCGGACUGAGGUACGCGCUCCGCAAGGAUGCUGGCGUAAUGGUCAUCAGCGACCCGUCUU